AUUGAACGCUGGCGGCAGGCCUAACACAUGCAAGUCGAACGGCAGCGGGGGAUAGCUUGCUAUCCUGCCGGCGAGUGGCGGACGGGUGAGUAAUGCAUGGGGAGCUGCCCAGUCGAGGGGGAUAACAACUGGAAACGGUUGCUAAUACCACAUACGCCCUAAGGGGGAAAGGUGGGGAACUUCGGUCCUACCGCGAUUGGAUGCGCCCAUGUGGGAUUAGCUAGUUGGUGAGGUAACGCCUCACCAAGGCGACGAUCUCUAGCUGGUCUGAGAGGAUGACCAGCACACUGGAACUGAGACACGGUCCAGACUCCUACGGGAGGCAGCAGUGGGGAAUAUUGCACAAUGGGGGAAACCCUGGUGCAGCCAUGCCGCGUGUGUGAAGAAGGCCUUCGGGUUGUAAAGCACUUUCAGUCAGGAGGAAGGGGUGAUGGCUAAUAUCCAUCAUCAUUGACGUUACUGACAGAAGAAGCACCGGCUAACUCCGUGCCAGCCGCCGCCGUAA
This 505-nucleotide ribosomal RNA is filed under the name uncultured bacterium. Its description in RNAcentral is "partial 16S ribosomal RNA". It matches the Rfam family "Bacterial small subunit ribosomal RNA", at positions 30 to 523 of the family's 1533-position model. The record is from RNAcentral.